Molecule: long non-coding RNA, 5421 nt
Organism: Lathyrus oleraceus (garden pea)
Lineage: Eukaryota; Viridiplantae; Streptophyta; Magnoliopsida; Fabales; Fabaceae
Exons: 2
Source: RefSeq, a predicted model, not a curated record
UUCAUUGUGUUGCACUGUUUUUUAUUGUGAUGUUUGUGUGAGAACUAUUAUUUUUGAACCUUUUUCUAUCUUCUCCUACCUUUCUACAAAUUAUCCCCCAUCUAGCUCUAGGUAAGUCAUUACCAUUCAGGGUUUCAACAAUAGUUUUGUUAUCAAAACCAAACUCCACAUUCUGAAAACAACAAUCUAAGGCUAUUUACAUGGCUUUUUAAAGAGAGAAAGCUUUCACCAUUAAGAUGUCUUUGUUUCCCUUUAUGCUUUGAGAGAUAAUCGCGAGAGACUCACCUUCUCUUUAAGAGCUAAUCGCGAGAGCUUCACCUUAAAGUUCCUGUCAACCUUUGCAUGCUAAGCUAGCAUCCGAGAUGCAUUUUAUCCAACCAUUUCCAGGCAGUUUCCAGUGAAAUCUACGUUUAUUUUCACCAUCUAUUUUUCUAUUGUUAUCGUAGCACUCAUUGUCCAUAUUCUUGUUCUGAUUCUUCCUAAUAUUUGCCUCUUUUUAUUUUUACAUGUUGUUCUUCCGAUGCUUAUCUUCACUCUGCCUUUGCUUUCUGGUGACUAUGUGGUUGAUCUCUCCAUCUUCCUCCCCAUUUAUCUUGAGGUCAGUGUCAUGCUUCUUAAUAAUAACCUUGCAUUUCAAGUCGUUUUCCAUGGAGGUUUUGGUGAUGUCUGUAUAUUCGUUGCAAGUUUUAUGAUUAGCUUUGUUGAGCUUAGUUGUUUCCUUAAGAUUUCUGUUUAUUCCUUCGAACUCUUUCGUGUUGCUUCUAUGGUGAGUGUUAGAUUCUUGAUACUUGCUAAUUUUAUUAUUUAUGAUAUGAUGUUUGAUAUUUUUGAGGCUAUUCCUUGGUGUAUUAGUAUUAUCAUGAUGUUUGUGGCUCUCUGUGUUAGUGUUGCAUGUCUUAUCCUUGGCUUUUCUGGGAGAAGCAUUAUUGCUGAUCAUUAUUAAUGGGGAGCGAUCCUCAUAUUAUUUUUAUUGUGAUACCUAUUCUAGAGAAUAUGGAGGUCUUUAUCCUUGUUCUGAUGUUGAGGUAAGUUCAUAUGAAUUCUCUUGAUGUAAGUUUGGUUAAAAUGAGGGUUUAAACCUUUGUUAUUGUCCUUUUCAAUGUUUAGAUUAUUCUUGGUUGGCUUGUGUAAAAGGUGAUGGUCCUUGACCUUUUGACUAACUUGUCCUAUGACAUCAUUAGCAUUGAUGCUAGUGUUUUAAAAAACCAUGUGAUUGUUUAGCCAUCCAAAUGAGGUAUAUAAUGAUACAAAUUAAAUUUGUGUUGUAGUCAUCCAUGAUAGAGAUAAUGUCCUUAAGCUAGUAUCUGAAAUCAAUGUUGUUGUUGUGUUUUAUGUUGAUCUUUGAUCCAAACCAUCCAUGUUUGGACCAAAUUAAAUUUUGAAAGCAUUGAUUGAUGAACUCAAUACUAUAGUUACAUCUAGGGAACAUGGGAUUGCAUUGGAUUCCCCUAUUAGUUAGGUUUUCUUUAACAAUGAUAGAUCUAUGAAUGACUCUUCAUAUGAGGAUUUGUUGUUUAAGAGUGACCUUAUUGUUCCAUAUUUUCUUCCACAUAUUUUGUUCUUUAAUUUUAUCAGAUCAUUGAGGAUUCAUAGCUUUUCUCCAAUAUAUUAAGCUUUGAUAUCUAGAUUUAACGCUAUAGUUUCCAUUAGGGUUUUUAUUUAGCUAAUGACAUCUUCUUGAUCUACGAAAUGAAGAGGGAUAUAUAGAUAUUUUAUCUAUCAAUAGGAAUGUUGGUAUCAUUAAUAAGAGUUUGGCUCAAGAUAUUGUUUCCCUCUCAAUUAGGUUCCUAACUCCAAUUACCAUUGUUUCCAAGUGUUUUUUUUAUGUUAGGACUUUAUACUCUCCUUGAUAUGGGAUCCAAUUGUGCUUUCAAACCUUAAGUUUAUCUCCAUUCCUAAUAAUCCAAUAAGUUCCUUUUUUAAUUAUCCAGUUGUUCUUGUGAAUGCUUCUUCACAAGUAACUAGGGUUACAUCCUUGUUUAGCUGCAUGAAAUUGGUGAUAGGGUAGUACUUAGGUGUUAAAGUAUUGAUAACUAGAGAAUUAGGGCUAGUGAGGAGUAUUCUUCCUUGUUUGGCUAACAUGGCUUCAUUGAAGUCUCUAAGCUUCCUGAAGCCUAAUACACCUUCGUGCUUGUGGUUACAUAGAUCUGUCCACUUCCUCUAAUGUAGUUUCUUAUUGUUAUUAUUGUCACCCGCCAAAAAUUCUUUGUCAUCUUCUCAAUUUUUGUGCAAAUAGACUUUGGGGAUGAUGAAAGAUCUCAUUAUAUAGGUAGGUAUAACUUGGACCAUAACUUUAAUGAGAGCAGCAUGUCCUACAUAAGAUAAACAGUUAGUAUUCCAACCCAUAAAUUUUUUCCUAAAUCUAUCUAUGAGAAAUUGAAAAGUUUAUUUUUUGAGGGAUUUAUAUAGGUAGGGAGUCCCAAAUAGUUAUGGAUUUGGUAUGUGAUGGGAAUUAGUAUCCAUUUAAUGAAAGUUUAUUCUACUCUUGUAUGGAAUUUCUAAUACGUUUUUGCUAUAAAUAACAGCUUAAAACCAUUACUUAAAGAGGGAAAUAGUCCCUUUUUUUACGCGUUAUCAAGAUUAUAAAAUUUUGUUAAAAACCGUCCCAUAUUCACUUUAAGCAACACUUUAAUGUGAAUCUAUAUUUAAACAAAUACACAAUGUGAGUCUAUUUGAUGUGAGCUAUACUUAAACAAAUAUACGAUAUGAAUCUAUAUUUAAACAAAUAAUCAAGUUCUUUGAUGGCAAUUGAACAUUAUUAACUAUUGAGCAUUAGGAUUAUUUUUUUUGACAAUUUAGAUAUAGCUUAUAAGGUUAAUGCAUAUCCCCCCUAUCAUAUGGGUCAUUUUCAAAAAAUCCCCUAUAAAUUUUGUUAUGAAUUCACCAACAUUUGAAGAUUCUCUCACUUUUGACCUUCGUCGGGCCAACUCAUCAAAAAAGCUUAUGUGGCGCUAUUUUAAAAAAAAUCUUCAUUUAAUCUAAUUUCCACAUGUGUAUUAUGGUGUGUAAGAUGACAAAAAUGUCCCUAAUGUUAAAACAAAACAUUUAAAGAGUUGAGAGUGUGUAAUUCCCCAGUUAAAGAAAAAACCCUAACAUUUCAUCCCUUCUCUUUCGUCUUCAUUGUUCAUCCUUGUCCACCCUUGAAACAAAUUGAAGCAUUAAACAAACAACAUCUUUCAUAUCUUCCACGUCCUAUUUGUUUGUACGGGCCCUGUAGUGCAACAAAAAAUUACGAUUGUAAUAAGUUAAUCAAAUUUGCAGUGGUUCCAAUGCAUGUUGCAAUAACUUUUAGUAUUUCAAAUUUAGGUUUUCAAUGUGUGGGCAAAUUGUUGUUGUUUCCUUAAACUAUGAAUGUUAAACUUCUUAAUCGUAUUUUAACUUCGGGGUAUAUUUGUAAUUGCAGAAAUUGGUUUAUUUAGUGUGAUAUUUCCCCCAUAGGGGAAACUUUGUUCACGACAUGCACAUGUUUUAUAGAGGGGGAGUGAAACCAAUGUAGAAGGGCAAGAAUCUGAUAAGUGGAGUUUUUUCGAGGUAGUUAGCUUAGUUAAAGACUGGGUUUAUGAUGGAUUUAGACUUUGGAGAAAGAUACUAGGACUUGAUGAAGGGUUUAUUCACUUCAUUGAUGAUGUACAAGCUGAAAAAUUGUCUAAUCACAACCUUGGUAGUAAUGUUGAUGGGCAUAUCUGGGUAGAACAUGGUGUUGAAGACAAGAUAAGCAAGGUGUUAAAUCCUGAUGUUGAAUAAUUUAGUUAUUGUAGUGAUGAUUAUAGCACUGAUGAUGAUGAUGGGGGGAUAGGGUUUGAUGAUACCAAACUAUGGUGUAAAAAUUCCUUUAGUUUAUACCUAAGUGUGAUGUGUUGAUGAACAACCUUAGUGAGUCAUUUAAUAAUACAAUUUCACAAGCUAGGGAUAAACCAAUUUUGACAAUGUGUGAGUGGAUUAGGAACUACAUAAUAAAUAGGGUUCCUAACAGUUUGGUUAAGCUUGACAAAUGGAAACACAAUGUCAUGACCAUAUUUAGGAAAAGAUUAGAUAAGUAAAUUUUGUUGAGUGGUCAAUGGCUGCCAACAUGGAGUAAGGGUGAGUUAUGGCAAGUUCAUCACACAUAUAAUGGACUUCAGUUUGUAGUUGAUCUUGGGGAAAAAUUGUACAUGUUGCUUUUGGGACCUAGUGGGGAUACCUUGUAUACAUAUUGUGUCUGCUAUGUAGUAUCAAAAUUUGAACCAUGAAUCAUAUGUUGACUCAUCUUACAUGAGGGAGGCUUAUAAGGCCUACUAUGAAAACAAUGUCAGUCCAAUCAAUGGUAUGGACACAUGGCCAAAUGUGGACAUUGAGGACAUGUUGCCACCUCAGUAUAAGAAGGGUCCAGGUAGGCCUAAGAAAUUGAGGUUUAUAUAGCAUGAUAAAUCUGGAUCUAGGAUGAGCAGGCCUGGUGUAGCAUAUAGAUGCAUCGAGUGUGACAAAUUUGGCCAUAGUUCAAGGAAAUGUCAUAGCAAAGAACAUGAUCUUAAUGCAUUGAGGAGAAAGUUAUUGAAUCAUGUUUCUUAACUAUCAUUCUAAUUUUGAUAAUGUGUAAAAUGUUGAUGGUUGACAUAACUGUUUGCAAUAUCAACGUGUGUAGAGGAAAACACCAAGGACCAAUGCCUCUUAAACUGUUGCUGAAGUUGAAGGGGUGUCUAAGAAAAAUGCUCCUGAAAGUGUGCAUGGAAUAAAUGACUCAUAUUUAGAUGCACUGCUUAAAGAGACGAUGACAUCUUUUGAAGACCAAAAUGAUGAUGCACAAAUAGAGCAGACACAAUCUCAAGUGUGCAAUCCCACCCAUGAUGUUGCACAAACUGAGCAUACAUAAGAAGAAGAAGCUAACCAAGCAGUUCCUCAAGAAGUUGACAAAGUAGUUAAGAAGAAGAAAAAAGUUGCCAAAGUAGAUGAGAAGAAGACAUAAGUUUCCAAAGCAGUUGAGAAGAAGAAACAAGUUUUCGAGGAAGUUAAGAAGAAUAAACAAGUUACAAAGGAAUUUAAGAAAAAGAAGAAGAAGAAAAUUGAUGUGAAUAAUACAGAGGCACCUAAGAGGAGUAGUGAUAGGUUGAAAUCUAUUUGGAGGUCUAAAAAUAAUAUUGGGUCUGGUUAAACUUCAGCUGCAUCAUUGGUAGUUGAUGAGGACCCUUCUAUGAAGAAAAUGAGGCCAUGGGAGGAAACUUCAAGGAGAAUGACUUAGUAAUGCCUAUUAUUAGGUAUUUUGUAACUUAUUAGGAGAAUGACUUAGCAAUGCUUAUCUAAGAAACAUCUAUUUUGUAACUUCUAUGUUACACACAAUAUGUUCUACUUUUGGGAACAUCUUUGUAAUACACACUAGGUGCACAUUUUGGAUCAAAUAUAAUGAUUUUGUAACUUCUAUGUUAUGCACAAUAUAUUCUACUAUUA